RNAcentral lists this ribosomal RNA (397 nucleotides) under uncultured bacterium. RNAcentral's name for it is "partial 16S ribosomal RNA". It matches the Rfam family "Bacterial small subunit ribosomal RNA", at positions 360 to 774 of the family's 1533-position model. The record is from RNAcentral.
AAUCUUGCGCAAUGGGCGAAAGCCUGACGCAGCCAUGCCGCGUGAAUGAUGAAGGUCUUAGGAUUGUAAAAUUCUUUCACAGGGGACGAUAAUGACGGUACCCGGAGAAGAAGCCCCGGCUACCUCCGUGCCACCAGCAGCGGUAAUACGAAGGGGGAUAGCGUUGCUCGGAAUUACGGGGUGUAAAGGGCGCGUAGGCGGAUCGUUAAGUCAGGGGUGAAAUCCCGGGGCUCAACCUCGGAAUUGCCCUUGAUACUGGCGAUCUUGAGUAUGAGAGAGGUAUGUGGAACUCCGAGUGUAGAGGUGAAAUUCGUAGAUAUUCGGAAGAACACCAGUGGCGAAGGCGACAUACUGGCUCAUUACUGACGCUGAGGCGCGAAAGCGUGGGGAGCAAACA